GACGAACGCUGGCGGCGUGCCUAAUACAUGCAAGUAGAACGCACAGUUUAUACCGUAGCUUGCUACACCAUAGACUGUGAGUUGCGAACGGGUGAGUAACGCGUAGGUAACCUGCCUGGUAGCGGGGGAUAACUAUUGGAAACGAUAGCUAAUACCGCAUAAUAUUAAUUAUUGCAUGAUAAUUAAUUGAAAGGUGCAAUUGCACCACUACCAGAUGGACCCGCGUUGUAUUAGCUAGUAGGUGAGGUAACGGCUCACCUAGGCGACGAUACAUAGCCGACCUGAGAGGGUGAUCGGCCACACUGGGACUGAGACACGGCCCAGACUCCUACGGGAGGCAGCAGUAGGGAAUCUUCGGCAAUGGACGAAAGUCUGACCGAGCAACGCCGCGUGAGUGAAGAAGGUUUUCGGAUCGUAAAGCUCUGUUGUAAGAGAAGAACGGGUGUGAGAGUGGAAAGUUCACACUGUGACGGUAUCUUACCAGAAGGGGACGGCUAACUACGUG
Molecule: ribosomal RNA, 505 nt
Filed under: uncultured bacterium
Lineage: Bacteria
Description: partial 16S ribosomal RNA
Rfam family: Bacterial small subunit ribosomal RNA
Source: RNAcentral